This is a long non-coding RNA of Saccostrea echinata, 398 nucleotides long. RefSeq lists it as uncharacterized. The record is from RefSeq and is a predicted model, not a curated record. The transcript is spliced from 2 exons. Lineage: Eukaryota; Metazoa; Mollusca; Bivalvia; Ostreida; Ostreidae.
AACGGGUCUACAGGAACUAAUGAUUUCUGUGACUUAAAGUGUGGUCCUGCGAAGAAGACUGAAGACCUGGAUCUUAGAAGAAACUGAAAAAAAAUAUGAUGUCACCCAUUGUGUGAGCUGCUAACGAAAAUCGUGUGAAGACCUGUAUGCUACAGUGACGCUGUAGUCUUAAGGUACCAGGUUCUUGGAAUGGAAUGCCGUUUGAUCUGGGAAGGAAAGAUUUAUCAGGAGUUAAUCUUCAUUUGCUUAAGUACACACUGUAAUCCAGACCACUGUGCAGUAUUAAAGGAUAAUCUUAUUAAUCUAGGAACGAAAGAAUAUGCCAACAUCAUCUUUCUUUGAAAUGUAGCUUUCAGUGCAGUCAAACUCGGAUUAUAAUUAAAUAUUUUAACAUUGUG